CGUAGGCUUUCAACGUGCGCUGGCAGAGGGCGGAGCGUACGCAGUCGUCUUUAUUAAAGCGCACCACACCAAUCAUCUCGUCCUCUUCAAAACGUGCCAGUGCAUCGCUCAGCCCCGAUUUAACUCCGGAGGGCAGAUCGCACUGGGUGAUAUCGCCGUUGACAAUCACGGUCACGUUUUCCCCGAGGCGCGUC
Non-coding RNA from Enterobacter cloacae S611, 194 nucleotides. The record is from Rfam. NCBI's taxonomy places the organism in Bacteria, Pseudomonadati, Pseudomonadota, Gammaproteobacteria, Enterobacterales, Enterobacteriaceae.